AUAGCUUACAACUUUAUCCUCCUCUGAUUCAAUCACUGAUUGAACACUGGCAAACAGUUUGAACAUGAAGAUGACAGUUGUUAACAAAUUGAAAAUCCAUCUUGCCGUUAAAUUCAUUGCUUUUAGCUGGCAAAAACACAGAAAGCAAUAAUGGCUAGGAAUGAUACUUUAUGGACAAACUUAACAAAUUUUCAAUCAAUAGCAACAAUUAUUACAUCAAUUAUCUCGAGUCGAAAGUAAGACUAAAGUUUGGUUUGCAAUUCACUGGUUGUUAACGUUGAUGAGUUACAAUCAGUUUUGCUCCCUCAAUUUCAUCUCCAUCCUCCUAGUCAACAUCAACUUAUCAACUAUCAACAGGCCCAGCACACUUGAUGGUCAUUCUGCCUUAACCAAAUGUUUAAAUAUACAUCAUAAUGGGUGGACAAGAUGAGAUGUCAAUUGUUGAAUGUGAAAGUUAACAGACCCAACUCUGGCCUCAAUAGUUUAUUCAUCUUUGACCUUGGUAUUUGACCUGAUUUACUGAUUGAUUAUCUUAACUGGUAAAGGAUUGUCACUUUCAACCACAUUAGUACCACAUAAAAUUAAUAUACAGCAUUAUUCAAUCCUUUUUUAGAGGGUUUAGGUUACCGUGAUGAAAACAAGGGUAAUUGAGUGAACCUUUUAUGAAGAUGAUGUUGCUCAAAAUCCUGAAUAAGUGAUUCAACAAAGAUUUAAGUGAAACAUUGAUUAAUUACUCACCAUGCAAUCCUGAUUAAUAUCUACGCAUUUAAAUGUAAAGCUUUAUUUGAUGGACACUUUGAAAGGUAGCAGUAAAAACAACACCACCAGAUCCACGAUCACGAGCUUGGCCACAUCCAUAUUGCUGUGUUGUUUUGGAAACAAUCCGUACAAAAUCAAGAUUAUCCUUUGGUGCAACUGGAUCAUCAUAAUUGUAUUUCCUCUCUUCAGCUCGAUACCAAGACUCCAUUACACCUGAUAAUACUCUGUCCUCAGGAUCGGCAUAGUAAAGAUAAUUUUGGCAAUAUUUCAUUUUCCAGAUCAUUUUCAUAUUGAUGAAUUGGUGGAUUACCUUCAUACUAGCCAUACACUACAGCGGCUUGUCUUUCUAGAUUCACAAGCUAAUACAAUUAAAUAAAGAGAAGGUCAAUUAAGUACACAUUAAUAUGGGAAAAGGUUUCAUCAUAAGCAAAACAUGCGUCUCUUACAUUUAUGGACAAUUCGGGUGAUCCAUGUCGCAUCCUGAGGAAGAAGAACCUGAGAUAGAGGAGAAAGAAAGAGAAGAAAACGGCAAAGCCAGAUUAAGACGAGCACGUAGAGAACGUUCAUCUUUUUGAUCAUUUUCUUUAUGAAGAUCAAUUAUCACUUUAGUAUCUAGUUUAUGCAAAAAACAAAAAUGGAUCAAACCAAACAAUGUAACUUUACUUUACCUUUCUCUCAUUUUUGAAAAUCUUACCAUGCUUCCCUAUUUCCUCGAAUAUGAUCUUUUCCCAAUUUCAUCAUCCUUGAAUAAUACAUGUAUGAUGUUCUGAAUUCCGUUUUUUCAAAGAAUCAUAUUGAAAAAAACAUAAAUGUUUCGUGGAGCAUUUUAA
Molecule: non-coding RNA, 1589 nt
Organism: Tetranychus urticae (two-spotted spider mite)
Lineage: Eukaryota; Metazoa; Arthropoda; Arachnida; Trombidiformes; Tetranychidae
Source: RefSeq, a predicted model, not a curated record